Molecule: ribosomal RNA, 1710 nt
Filed under: Polynemus paradiseus (paradise threadfin)
Lineage: Eukaryota; Metazoa; Chordata; Actinopteri; Polynemidae
Description: 16S ribosomal RNA
Rfam family: Bacterial large subunit ribosomal RNA (bases 105-1598)
Source: RNAcentral
CGCCCAUUAGCUAGCCCCACCCCCACCCCUAACAAACAAAUAUAAAUAAUCCAAAAUAUACGUCAUAUAUUUAACCAAACCAUUUUUCUCCACAGUAUAGGUGAUAGAAAAGGACCUAUGGGAGCCAUAGAAAAAGUACCGCAAGGGAACGCUGAAAAAGAUAUGAAAAAGACCAGUAAAGCAAAAAAAAGCAGAGAUUUUCCCUCGUACCUUUUGCAUCAUGAUUUAGCCAGUAAAUUUAAGCAAAAAGAAUUUUAGUUUAAAACCCCGAAACCAAGUGAGCUACUCCAAGACAGCCUAAUAUAUAGGGCAAACCCGUCUCUGUGGCAAAAGAGUGGGAAGAACUUUGAGUAGAGGUGACAGACCUAUCGAACCUGGUUAUAGCUGGUUGCCUGAGAACUGAAUAGAAGUUCAGCCCUAAGGAUUCUCUUGUCCAACAUAUUUUAUUUUUCUUGACACAUUUAAAGAAGCCUUAAGAGUUAGUCAAAGGGGGUACAGCUCCUUUGACUCAAGAUACAACUUUUCCAGGAGGGUAAAUAUUAUAAUACUGAAGGAACAAUGUGCCGGUGGGCCUAAAAGCAGCCAUCCCAACAGAAAGCGUUAAAGCUCAAACAUUAAUUUCUCCCGAUAUCCCAAUAAACCCCUAUUAUCCCCCUAAUUCUUAUCAGGCCGCCCCAUGCCUACAUGGGGGUGACCAUGCUAAUAUGAGUAAUAAGAAGGGCAAACCCCUUCUCCCAGCACACGUGUAAAUCGGAACGAACCCAUCACCGAAAAUUAACCGGCCCCAAAUAAAGAGGGUAAUUAAUACAGAAUAAUAAGCCAGAAAAGUAUUAACUUACAACACCGUUAAACCCACACCGGCGUGCAACCAGGGAAAGACUAAAAGAAAAAGAAGGAACUCGGCAAACACUAACCAAGCCUCGCCUGUUUACCAAAAACAUCGCCUCUUGUAAUCCAAAAAAUAAGAGGUCCCGCCUGCCCAGUGACAACUCAGUUCAACGGCCGCGGUAUCCUAACCGUGCAAAGGUAGCGCAAUCACUUGUCUUUUAAAUGAAGACCUGUAUGAAUGGCAUAACGAGGGCUUAACUGUCUCCUUUUUCAAGUCAAUGAAAUUGAUCUCCCCGUGCAGAAGCGGGGAUGUUAACAUAAGACGAGAAGACCCUAUGGAGCUUUAGACACAAGACAGACUUCGUCACUCACCCCUAUGAUAAAAGAGUUAAACUAAAAAGACCUGUCCUUAUGUCUUCGGUUGGGGCGACCAUGGGGCAAUAAAAAACCCCCACGUGGACUGGGAGAUCAAACCCACCUUAUCCUUCCUCCCAAAACUAAGAGCGACAGCUCUAAUCAACAGAAUUUCUGACCAAAAAUGAUCCGGCAACGCCGAUCAACGGACCAAGUUACCCUAGGGAUAACAGCGCAAUCCCCUUUUAGAGCCCAUAUCGACAAGGGGGUUUACGACCUCGAUGUUGGAUCAGGACAUCCUAAUGGUGCAGCCGCUAUUAAGGGUUCGUUUGUUCAACGAUUAAAGUCCUACGUGAUCUGAGUUCAGACCGGAGUAAUCCAGGUCAGUUUCUAUCUAUGACGUAAGCUUUUCUAGUACGAAAGGACCGAAAAGAAGAGGCCCAUGCUAAAAGCACGCCUCACCCCAAUCUAAUGAAGCCAUAUAAAUUAGACAAAGGGGGACACCUCUCAUGUCAAAGAGCCUGACAU